This 468-nucleotide ribosomal RNA is filed under the name uncultured bacterium. RNAcentral describes it as "partial 16S ribosomal RNA". It matches the Rfam family "Bacterial small subunit ribosomal RNA", at positions 28 to 507 of the family's 1533-position model. The record is from RNAcentral.
GACGAACGCUGGCGGCGUGCUUAACACAUGCAAGUCGAACGGAAAGGCCCUGCUUUUGUGGGGUGCUCGAGUGGCGAACGGGUGAGUAACACGUGAGUAACCUGCCCUUGACUUUGGGAUAACUUCAGGAAACUGGGGCUAAUACCGGAUAGGAGCUCCUGCUGCAUGGUGGGGGUUGGAAAGUUUCGGCGGUUGGGGAUGGACUCGCGGCUUAUCAGCUUGUUGGUGAGGUAGUGGCUUACCAAGGCUUUGACGGGUAGCCGGCCUGAGAGGGUGACCGGCAACAUUGGGACUGAGAUACGGCCCAGACUCCUACGGUACGCAGGAGUGGGGAAGAUUGCACAAUGGGCGGAAGCCUGAUGCGGCAACGCCGCGUGCGGGAUGACGGCCUUGGGGUUGUAAACCGCUGUCGCCUGUGACGAAGCGUGAGUGACGGUAAUGGGUAAAGAAGCACCGGCUAACUACGUG